CUACGGGCGGCAGCAGUGGGGAAUAUUGGACAAUGGGCGAAAGCCUGAUCCAGCCAUGCCGCGUGUGUGAAGAAGGCCUUCGGGUUGUAAAGCACUUUCAGUGGGGAAGAAAGCCUUGGGGCUAAUACCCUCGAGGAAGGACAUCACCCACAGAAGAAGCACCGGCUAACUCCGUGCCAGCAGCCGCGGUAAUACGGAGGGUGCGAGCGUUAAUCGGAAUUACUGGGCGUAAAGCGCGCGUAGGCGGUCUGAUAAGCCGGUUGUGAAAGCCCCGGGCUCAACCUGGGAACGGCAUCCGGAACUGUCAGGCUAGAGUGCAGGAGAGGAAGGUAGAAUUCCCGGUGUAGCGGUGAAAUGCGUAGAGAUCGGGAGGAAUACCAGUGGCGAAGGCGGCCUUCUGGACUGACACUGACGCUGAGGUGCGAAAGCGUGGGUAGCAAACAGGAUUAGAUACCCCUGUAGUC
Molecule: ribosomal RNA, 464 nt
Filed under: Vreelandella stevensii
Lineage: Bacteria; Pseudomonadati; Pseudomonadota; Gammaproteobacteria; Oceanospirillales; Halomonadaceae
Description: partial 16S ribosomal RNA
Rfam family: Bacterial small subunit ribosomal RNA
Source: RNAcentral